UCAGACUGUGCGUAACUAAUUAAAAAUAUUGAAAGUGUCAAAAGUAUUAUGUGGGCUUGAUAGUAUCAAUUAUAUUUCCUCAACAUAAAUAAGUAUUUGAACUUUCUUAUACUGAUAUUUAUACCCUAAUACAAUUAAUGUCUACCACAUUGACCAUAAACAUACAUUUUAAAAGGCAAUUAAAAUAAUAUUUAUACUAUUAAUAUUAUUUGCUAAAACCAUUCAGCAUGUUAUAUUUAAAUAUUUACAAUUAAAUAUAAUGUGUUAAGGGUGCUGUGUAUUAUUCAAUAAAUAUUUUGGUGUUGAAAUGACUGCCUUAUCAGUAUUUCUCAAAUUAUGCAAUUUUUGGCUUAGACACAGCAUGGUAUCAGAUAAGAGAAUAGCCAGUCCCUAUCAGUCCUCCAUCUAAGCCUAACUAAGGGGUGUUGAUAUACUUUUGAUUUGUUCAGGCACCAUCUAUUUGAGAACCGCAGAUAGGAAGUUAUUUUUUGAAAACAAGCAGCAUCAGCAACUGACUUUAAGCUAGAAUUAAGACUUAUUAUUCUAGUGUAAAAUGUCUUGAAAUACUUUCAGCAUGAAGUAUUGUGUGAUGAAAAAAAUGUGUAUUUACUACAAUGUGUAAAUCAACAAUAAAGGAGAUUAAAAGUGGGUGGUUAAAGACAUAUAAAGUGAUAUGGUCUAGUUCAACAACUGCCUGUAUUUUUGGAAUACUGAAGAACAGUCUGUUGUAACAGGUUAAACCCCAUGGAAAGAAUGUGCAUCAUCGCAUCGCCUGCCAAAAAAAGGAGCAAAAGAGAGACUACCUGAUGUAUGGACUUGAAUACCAGGUUUUACCCUGCACAAGCUGGCCGACAUGAGGAGAACAGUAGUGGGAAAACCGCGCCCUCUCCUUGACCAAGAAAAGCUGGAUUUGUUUAGAGGACCUGAUCAAAUGAAAAUAUGCACGAGACGCAUCGCGCAAAGGCCAUGACAGUAUAAUAGUUGCAAAGAAGUUUGACCGGCUGGUGGCAGACUUGGAGAGAAAGAUGAGAGCUGCACUCCGCUGCCUCAAAGAAAUGCUGAAAGGCCUUGAUUGAUAUGCAUCUUUCUUAUGUAUAUAGCUGUUCGUGUGUAUAUACUGUACAUGUUAUUAUAGUAUGCUAUUAUUUUUUGUUUAUUUAUAAUCAAAUUAUCUUUAUAUUUAUUUCAUCAAAUUGCCAUUGAUAUUUAAUUACUCAUGUAUGUUAAAAAAUGUUGGUGUACAUUAAAGUAUAAAAUUGAAUUAUCUUGUAAUUAUUAAAAUA
Long non-coding RNA from Dreissena polymorpha, 1283 nucleotides. RefSeq lists it as uncharacterized. Lineage: Eukaryota; Metazoa; Mollusca; Bivalvia; Myida; Dreissenidae. The transcript has 3 exons. The record is from RefSeq and is a predicted model, not a curated record.